RNA transcript from Brassica napus (rape), 6137 nucleotides. RefSeq lists it as uncharacterized. The record is from RefSeq and is a predicted model, not a curated record. NCBI's taxonomy places the organism in Eukaryota, Viridiplantae, Streptophyta, Magnoliopsida, Brassicales, Brassicaceae. The transcript has 15 exons.
UGUUUCUUACUUGGCCCAAUCGGUCCAAAUGGAUAAAAUUAUUACUGACCAAAAUGUGUGGUUCUGCGUAAUUCGUGUUAAAAAAAUAUAAGUUACAGAAAAGGAAAGAAAAAAACAAAACCUAGACUUUAUCUUUCUCAAAACUCAUCGAUCGAAAUCCAUGGCGAUUCGAAGCUUCUCGAUUGCUUGAGUGACUUUGAUCCAUCGCGAUUCAAAGAAGUCCAUGACUCCUAAGCUUCAAGAUCUUCAUCGAUGAGAACGCCAUGAAUCUGAUUUGGAAAAAAAUCAAAACGAUGGUUGGAAACACGUUAGAUCCACCAGGACUUCUCGAAUCCUAUCUCUUAAGGUAGGAAAAAAAAAAACCUAAAGAGCAAUACAACAGGUAGACAGGAGCCGGCUUACUUAAGGUGCAAGAAAUCAGUCGAUGAUUUGGACAUGGCAACUAUGGAAUCUCCCUCAUAGAUAUAUUCAUAUCAGAACUCCCCUUGAUAAAGGAUGAUCGGUUGCUCGGUACAUGCCAGUUGAAGGACUGAGGGUGAAAUUCUGGAUGUGCCUCCAUGCUCCAACAGGAAGCAGGCGGCCUUUACUCUCCAUCUUCAUCGGAUAGCACUAUCUCGAGGGUGUCCCCGUGCACUGGGUUGUACUGCUUCCAAGAGUGCAGAACCUUCACAUGCACUUUCCAGCCACUCUUGUAGGGUUUCACAUCUUUCAAAGGGGUCACUUUCAUUGCGGUAGACAUUUUUUUUUUUGAUUGUGAAUGUAGUUGUGAGUAAAUGUGAGAAAGCUUAGGCAUGUUGUAGGUGUUUAUAUAGCAGUAGGUUUAUCGAUGGUUCUAAAUGUCUGGUAAAAAAACAUCUCUCGUAUAUUCUUAGUUCUCUAUAGGAAACCGUUAAGAGUAUUGAUCAAGAAAAAAUAUUUAGAGCUCGAUUUUGUUUGUGGUUGUUUACAUAUCUUAACAAUAUUUACAAUUCUGUUAGUUUAGAUAUCUUUUUAACAUAAAGGAAUUAAAUGAAACAAAUAUUUGGGUUAAUCGAUGGUUUUAAAUGUCUGGUAAAAAAAUGUCUGGUAUAUUCUUAGUUCUCUAUAGGAAACCGUUUAGAGUAUUGAUCAAGAAAAAAUAUUUAGAUAUUGAUUUUGUUUGUGGUUGUUUACAUAUCUUAACAAUAUUUACAAUUCUGUUAGUUUAGAUAUCUUUUUAACAUAAAAAAAUUAAAUGAAACAAAUAUUUGUGUAGUUAUUACGUAUGCUUCAUGGGCAAGCUAGUAUAUUCUGAUUCAUUAAAUGAAAAAUCGUUAGAGAAUUUUAUACUGUUAAGAUAUGUUUGAUAGUUACCGAAUUUGAUUUCUACAUGCUUGCCUUGGGCCAUUUAGAAAAAUCGGUUAGGAGUAGUUCGUUUGGGCUAAAAUUCCAUGUUGGGCCAUUUUAAAUUUUUGAAAAAACGUGUUUUUGUAUUGUUCACGUAAAUACCCUUUUUUAAUCUUUGAAAUGUAAGGAAACACUAAAAAUGAAAGGGCAGACUAAGGUAAUUAUGACAAUAGGAUCCUGCUUUAAUAAUAUAGAUGAAGGAUAAAUGAUUCGGACAAUUCUCUCAAAUAGUCAUUUUUAAAGCCUUCAAUAAAAACAAAACAAAAUAGCUUCUUUUUACUUUGAAUUUUUUAAUUUAAUUUUUUAAUUUUUAAAAUUUGAAACUAUAUCCUCAAAACUCCACCCCUUAACUCUAAACUCUCUAUAGAUUAGUUAACCUUAGGAUAUAAAUAUAUUUUUACUUUUUAAAAAAAAUUAUUUUGGUCAUUCUACUCAUUGAAGGCUAUUUUGUGCUAAAAACUUAAAAAUGUCUAUCUUAGAGAAUUUCUCGUGAUCCUAUGUUUUACAGAAUUUGUAAAAUCACUUUUUACAAAGAUUUUUCAAUUAAUUAUAGUUCUAAAAUGGCUUAUCUAUCUAUAUCUUUAUAUAUAAAGAAAUGUUUUUUCUCUCCUGGUGCUGCCACCUAGGAUUCCAGGUUAGAAAGUCAUUUAUUGAGGAACCGACACGUGUCAAUCCGAGUUAAAACACACCGUAUCAUUUAACUUUGUCGUCGUGAGCUUUGCUAACAUUUUGUGGGAUUGGGCUCUAAAACUGGAAGUUUUAUUGGGCCCGCUGAGAUGAAUGUGGCUUCUAACCCUAAGCGAAGAAACGACGUCCGUAUGUGUGACACAAUACAUUGUAAAUCGUGAUACGAUUGCUUCGAAACGCAGCGUUAUGAUUUUUGGUUCCAUCCAUCUCUCAUCUUCGCCGUAUCGAUACUAGGGUUUUGAUCGAUCUAUUCCUCUUCUUCCGGCCGAUCCAAAGAUCAAUCGGUUACAGAUUCAAUCCUCUUAAAUUCCUUCUUCGAUCCAUCGCACACGGUUCUAAGUCAUGGCAGCCACCGUGAAUGUCAACCGUCUCGGCACACUUUUCUACACCUUCUAAAGGCUGGUUCACUGUUCACCUUAAGCGGAUUCGAUGUGACACGGUGCAAUCAGAACUUUGGACUAACCGACACUUCUCUCACAAUUCGGUUCAGUGAUUCAACCACAGUUGUUGAGUUAAACAAACCGGUCUCACCGAUACCUCAAGAGCGGUUAAGGUUCCAUGCUCACGAUUCGAUGUAUGGCCUAGCCUAUAUAAACACACAUCUUCCAGAUAUUCUUCAAGGGCUCACUCCUGUGAAGAGUAUAGUGUGUGACGUUCCACAGGGAAAAGGAACGUGUUAUGAUUAUGCGUUGAUCAUUUUAUUGGAAGGCUUUCAAGGUGAUCCAAGAGUUGUUGUCGCGACUAUCAAUCCUAAAAUUGUCGGAGGAUGUCUGUUUUGAACGCUACGUCAGCAACACAAAAUUUUCGAUAAAGAGACUUAUGCACUGGGGAUUUUGUUUUACUAAGUAUCUAAUGGUGAAACUUCACAAUCAUGUAGACUGGUCUCUAAAGAACUGGGAACACUCCAGUACCUACAUUGCUGAGGAGAUACGCCAAGGUUGAGCCGUUGAGCAUAUAUCUGAGCCGUUGAGCAUAUAUCUGAGCUGAAUGAGUUCAUCAUCACCACCCAACCUCAGGAAAUUGAAUUCGUCUGUACUAGCAAGGUCACUGGAAUCAAGAUGGACAAAGGGUGGUGCUACGUAUCCUGCUCUAGGUGCUCUAGAUGCACAAAGAAACUCCAAUGAAUUGUGUUGUAUUUUACUUGCAUAAGCUGCAAUAACACCAACGAUGUUGGUGUGCUCCAGUAUUAUGAACCACUUGCGUCUUUUAUUCCUUUUAAAUUUAAUCUCAUAAAAACCUAAAACAUCACCACCAACCCACAACCAACAUGGUUUUCACAAAUUGUAUCUACUUUCAUAGGUAUCGUGUGGAGAUGAGCAUUGCUAAUGACACUGAUGAGGGUCUGUUUGUUGGUUUCGAUGGAGAGAUGACUAAACUACAUAGCAAUGCUAUGUUGGCAAUAAGAUUCUUAUGGUACCCACACAUUGCAUCACAUAGCAUUGUGUGACAUAUUCCAUAUAUUGUAUUAUGAACUUGCAACAGAUACGUCGAACACAUAGGCUGGACAGGGAGUUAAUCCAAAUGAGAUGCAGCCAUCGCCUUUUAUUGCAGUGGUAAUACAUACAGCUUCCAGGUCAGGAUAAGCCAAUAUAAUUUUACUGCCAAUCAUCAGUCAUUCACAAUCUCUCGCAUCAUCUGCCACUCCCCGACUUUGUUGCCGACGAGGGUGACGAUGAUAAUGGAGUUCUCUCUAAGUUUAAAUUUGGUGGUACUAAUCGUGAGGAGUCAUCUACUUCGAAAGUGGUCAAGAAGGCAUGGAAGAAAUAAAUGGAGUUGAUAUAGUUUUCUAUUUUGAAUAUUUGAGCCAGUUUUUAAUAUUUGAAUAUUACUUCGGCAUCGUUGCUGGUUUUAUAUUUUGUCAUCUUCUAAAGUUUGCUGUGUUUUAAACCUAUUAUUUAAAUGAAUUUUUGGGAUUUUGCAAUAAUUUCACCUCUCAUUAGAUAACUAAGGUUUUGGAUAACAAGUCGUCACAUAGUUCUACUCGAUAAAGUAGUGCAUAUAAGUAAUAUCUCUUAACUGUACAAUGUAUUUUCUAUGUAAUAAAAUGACCUUAUAGAUUAAAAAUGUGUAUAUAUAUAAAUAUUUUUAAAAUUAAGUUUUAUAACAUUAAAAUCCGUAACUAUUUUAAUUUUAAAAAUUUUAGAAACAAUAUCAUACUUGAAUUGAAAUUUACAAUAAAUAUUUAACCGGUGUAUUUUUCUUUACUUUUUUAUUGUAAUUGUAACAUAGAGAUUUAAAAUAUCUUAUAACCGUUCAGUUCAGUUUAGUUCGAUAACUGUAAAAGUCACCAUAUGAGAUUAAGUAAGAAAGUCUUUACUUAAUCUAUACAAAAAUUUAUAUCAGGAAAUUAACAAGGACUAAAACAUCUGCGCAUAUGGGCAAAUAACAAUUGUGGCAAAUGUAACGAUUUCUAUGCCAUAAUUUUGCUAUGCAUAGGAUGAUAACAUGCAGAAUGCUUGAAAUUUAUGGUUAGCCAUGAACGGCCAACCGACAUGUUUUGAGUUGACAAAUGCUGGAAAUAGAUCAAAGGUCCCUUAUGCGAUGUCUAUAUAUUGAAAAAGAGGUGUUAUGUAAUUAAUAUGAUUUUUAUAUUGCCACCAAAAAAUUACCAUCUCAAUAAUUUGGAAAACAAAUGGAGAAGUUGUUAGAGUUGGUUUUACGGUAACUAACAUGUUCCUACACUCAUCGACCACUACUCAAUUUUUACACUUUUCAGUUUCAAUGUUUUCAUAUUUUGAUUAAUUUUUACUACCUUCUUCACAUUCAAUAUAACAUUCUACAUUUAAUAAGAAAUACAACUUCAAAUAAACACCACUUCCACUCCAAUAGCAUGUCGAAAAUUAUAAUUUCAACAUAAAAAGUAAUUACUCUAAUAACAUACACAAAAAAUUACCCAAAAACCAAUCCUUCCGAACUCAAAUUACUACAAACCACAAAUAAUGCCACAACUCUUUGAUAUACAAACAGCUAUUAUAAACAAGCAAAAUAUAUCUUAUCACAUGUAAUUAUUCCUCACUUAAAACUUUCUAAAAAACAAAAAUCUUUAUUAUACACAUCACCUGGAAAUAGAAACCUAAAACACAAACCACAAAAAUAAUAACCUAGAUCACAAGUAUAUUAUAUUCCCCCCGUAGGGCGGGCCGAUCCUAGUAUCCUAUACAAUAAAAGAGACUUUUCUCUCUUCUCCUUGGACCACAUCAGCAAGAGAGGGUGGCCAAAAUAGGACACGUGGACUCUUCUAAAAAAACCUUUGUUUGUUUUCACUUCGUUUUGUUUAUGGGCUCAUAUUUUGGUUCAUGUUUGUUAUGGCCCACUCCAUACUUUCGCUGUCUUUUCUUUUGUCCAAGCAAACCGUCGCUACUGUCCCGGUUCCGCUUCCCAUUCUCCUUUCGUCGCCGCCGUAACGUUAAGCAAAAAGAUAAGAAUUUUUUCUUUCUUCCACGACGUUCCUCCUGGGUUGGGAAGGGCGAAGAUCAUCUCCAAGCUCAUCCUUUUAUGGGAACCUCUCCGGAUUGAUAUUGAGAUGUUAUUCAUCGAGAAACAAAAGUACUGAAGUCGAACCAACUCCAGAAGAUAUAGAAAUGGACUAAGGAGAGGAAGAAACUGCAGAAAGUAACUUCAGGGAACUGCAUCAGAAAAUCGUUCCAAAUCGAAGCUGAUCUCACAAAAAGAUUCUUCAGGUUGCAGAGUAUUAGGGGCCAUCAACUUUGACAGACACCAUAACAAGCCAGAAAUUGUAUGAUGAGUAAGUAUUUUCUGAAUCGAUUCAGAAUAACUUACACAUAAGACGAAUGCUUAUACGUUCGAAACAUCAACCACUGUAAGCUUAUGUGGCCUUGACGGCAGCGCCCGCCCCCUCAAGUGGUUCUAAGUACGGAGAUGUUCAGACAAUCCAGAUCGUGAUUGUGGCGGAGCUUAGCGCAAUGGUACAACACAUGUUAUUGGUGCAUUAAUAUGUCAAACUCUUUCAAUCUCCACUACUGCACUGUAACAAAAAGAAAAUCCAAGGAAACAAUAAUGGCUCAGAUAUAUUUGUGGUUUAAAGCAACAAAAUAAAAUUGUGGUCUUAGUAUUUUGAAAUUCAA